GACACUUUGGCCGAGUGGUUAAGGCGCACGCCUGCUAUUAGCUCAUGAUUCCUCAUAGGAGGUUCAUGUCUCCCAGCGUGUGGGUUCGCCCGCGUGAGUUCGAAUCUCACAGGUGUCG
This 118-nucleotide transfer RNA is filed under the name Aspergillus alliaceus. It matches the Rfam family "tRNA". Rfam says of the family: Transfer RNA (tRNA) molecules are approximately 80 nucleotides in length. Their secondary structure includes four short double-helical elements and three loops (D, anti-codon, and T loops). Further hydrogen bonds mediate the characteristic L-shaped molecular structure. tRNAs have two regions of fundamental functional importance: the anti-codon, which is responsible for specific mRNA codon recognition, and the 3' end, to which the tRNAs corresponding amino acid is attached (by aminoacyl-tRNA synthetases). tRNAs cope with the degeneracy of the genetic code in two manners: having more than one tRNA (with a specific anti-codon) for a particular amino acid; and 'wobble' base-pairing, i.e. permitting non-standard base-pairing at the 3rd anti-codon position. Lineage: Eukaryota; Fungi; Ascomycota; Eurotiomycetes; Eurotiales; Aspergillaceae. The record is from Rfam by way of RNAcentral.